CCUUCAUGUUUCCCUUCCUAUGGUGCUUUAUUGUGAUAGCAAGUCUGUGAUUAGUAUUGCUCACAAUCUAGUCCAGCACGAUCGCACCAAGCAUGACUGAUAUGUGUU
Long non-coding RNA from Telopea speciosissima, 108 nucleotides. RefSeq lists it as uncharacterized. The record is from RefSeq and is a predicted model, not a curated record. NCBI's taxonomy places the organism in Eukaryota, Viridiplantae, Streptophyta, Magnoliopsida, Proteales, Proteaceae. The transcript has 3 exons.